This 253-nucleotide ribosomal RNA is filed under the name uncultured bacterium. Its description in RNAcentral is "partial 16S ribosomal RNA". It matches the Rfam family "Bacterial small subunit ribosomal RNA", at positions 524 to 776 of the family's 1533-position model. The record is from RNAcentral.
UACGUAGGGUGCGAGCGUUAAUCGGAAUUACUGGGCGUAAAGCGUGCGCAGGCGGUUUUGUAAGCCAGAUGUGAAAUCCCCGGGCUUAACCUGGGAAUGGCAUUUGGGACUGCAAGGCUUGAGUGCGGCAGAGGAGACUAGAAUUCCUGGUGUAGCAGUGAAAUGCGUAGAUAUCAGGAGGAACACCAAUGGCGAAGGCAGCACUCUGGGACGGUACUGACGCUGAGACGCGAAAGCGUGGGGAGCAAACAGG